AUGUAUUUUUCCCCCCUUUAUUCAACAACCUGUCCUUAUUCAACAACCUGUCCUUAUUCAACAACCUGUCCUUAUUCAACAACCUGUCCUUAUUCAACAACCUGUCCUUAUUCAACCCACCUGUCCUUAUUCAACAACCUGUCCUUAUUCAACAACCUGUCCUUAUUCAACCCACCUGUCCUUAUUCAACCCACCUGUCCUUAUUCAACCCACCUGUCCUUAUUCAACAACCUGUCCUUUAUUCAACAACCUGUCCUUAUUCAACAACCUGUCCUUAUUCAACAACCUGUCCUUAUUCAACAACCUGUCCUUAUUCAACAACCUGUCCUUAUUCAACAACCUGUCCUUAUUCAACAACCUGUCCUUAUUCAACAACCUGUCCUUAUUCAACCACCUGUCCUUAUUCAACAACCUGUCCUUAUUCAACAACCUGUCCUUAUUCAACAACCUGUCCUUAUUCAACAACCUGUCCUUAUUCAACCCACCUGUCCUUAUUCAACCUACCUGUCCUUAUUCAACCCACCUGUCCUUAUUCAACCCACCUGUCCUUAUUCAACCUACCUGUCCUUAUUCAACCCACCUGUCCUUAUUCAACCUACCUGUCCUUAUUCAACAACCUGUCCUUAUUCAACAACCUGUCCUUAUUCAACAACCUGUCCUUAUUCAACAACCUGUCCUUAUUCAACAACCUGUCCUUAUUCAACCUACCUGUCCUUAUUCAACAACCUGUCCUUAUUCAACCUACCUGUCCUUAUUCAACAACCUGUCCUUAUUCAACCUACCUGUCCUUAUUCAACCUACCUGUCCUUAUUCAACCUACCUGUCCUUAUUCAACCCACCUGUCCUUAUUCAACUGACCUGUCCUUAUUCAACAACCUGUCCUUAUUCAACAACCUGUCCUUAUUCAACUGA
Molecule: long non-coding RNA, 912 nt
Filed under: Oncorhynchus kisutch (coho salmon)
Lineage: Eukaryota; Metazoa; Chordata; Actinopteri; Salmoniformes; Salmonidae
Description: lncRNA (ENSOKIG00005028131.1)
Source: RNAcentral